RNAcentral lists this long non-coding RNA (1015 nucleotides) under Equus asinus (donkey). RNAcentral's name for it is "lncRNA (ENSEASG00005033218.1)". Lineage: Eukaryota; Metazoa; Chordata; Mammalia; Perissodactyla; Equidae. The record is from RNAcentral.
CUUGAAGGAGCAGGACAGAGACUGCGGUUUUGCUAAUCCUCAAAUUAAAUAGCAGGACUUUUCCAGAGUAACCUAAGUGUGAACAGCACCGCGCUGGCUGCCCGAGGGAGCUCCCGCUCGACGUUCCUCUGCUCUUCCGUGCUGUGCCCUCGGCACAGCCUCCCACUCUGUCUUCACUACCCACAUCGCCAGCACCAGAAGAAACGAUUUUAACUACACCCAUCAGAAAACACGAACCAGUGAAGCAGCAUUUUAUCUAGCAUCAGUGACUGCAUGCUGUGAGAAUUUUGUUGCUGUGGAAACCGUGUUUGUGAUACUGAAACUGAAUAAUGACUUGCUCUAUCAGGUUUUGAUGAUCACAGAGAAAUUACGGUUUUUACUGAGCAAACCCUUGUAUAUCAAUAAAGAUCCAAUUCUUUGGGACAUCCUGUCACCUCUACCUUCAAAAUACGUCCCCAGUCCAAGCACAUCUCGCCCGCUACGGCUACAAGGCUGGUCCAGGGAACUGUUGUCUCUCACCUGAGCUGCCCCAGCUACCUCCUGACUGUGUGUGAACCCGACAGAGAACAGAUGCUAUUUCACCUGCAGCCCUGCACCCAUUGAGAACGGCAGAUGGAAGAGGCAAAAUAAAUAGGUCAGAACUAGGCGUGGUGAAGUGGACGCUGUGCUGGGCCUUGAAGAGGACGGCCUGGACCAAACGUGUGUGCGCGUUGCAGUCACACGGAGGGCUUGUGCAAACGUAGAGCUGCUGGUGUGUUAGGUCUGUGAUGGGCCCUGAGAAUUUGCAUUUAAAACAAAUUCACGGAGGCUGCUGAAGCUCCCUCUGAGGACCAUGGGCCUCCCCGGUGGAAGACCUGGGGCUGAAUCCCAGAUUCCUUGCUUUACUAGCUGUGACUGAGGGAAUUUAGUUAUCUGAGUCUCGGCUCCUUCUCUGUAAACUGAACUGUAAACUCCCUGUUUAUCCAUUUUGUUAGACUUGUGUGAAAAGGAAAUAAAAUAAUAUAUUUGCAAAUUA